AAGGAUCAUUACUGAACGAAAUGGGUGGCAAGGCUGUCGCUGGCUUAAAUGAGCAUGUGCACGUCUUUUUGUCACUUACUUCAUUCUCUCUUCCACCUGUGCACUCUUUGUAGACACUUGGGAUGUGAGAGAGGGGUUGGCAUUGAUUUGUCGGACUUCUCUUGAUAUUGAAAAUCUGGGUGUUUAUGUAUUUUUUGACAUACACGGUUGAAUGUCUAUAGAAUGAAAUUAUAGGCUCUUGUCAGCCUUUAAAUGAUAAAACACAACUUUCAACAACGGAUCUCUUGGCUCUCGCAUCGAUGAAGAACGCAGCGAAAUGCGAUAAGUAAUGUGAAUUGCAGAAUUCAGUGAAUCAUCGAAUCUUUGAACGCAUCUUGCGCUCCUUGGUAUUCCGAGGAGCAUGCCUGUUUGAGUGUCAUUAAAUAUCUCAAAAAUCUUGUGCUUUUGUUGGCAUAGGACUUUUGGACAUUGGGAGUUGCCGGCUGCUGGUAAAGUAGUGGGCUCUUCUGAAAAGCAUUAGUUGAGGAGCUUUGCACUCUUAUUGGUGUGAUAAACUAUCUAUGCCAAGAGAUGCUUCAUGAUCCUCUGCCGUCUAACUGUCUUUAUAAGACAAUAUGAUAAACUUGACCUCAAAUCAGGUAGGACUACCCGCUGAACUUAA
Molecule: ribosomal RNA, 661 nt
Filed under: uncultured fungus
Lineage: Eukaryota; Fungi
Description: eukaryotic LSU rRNA
Rfam family: 5.8S ribosomal RNA (bases 265-418)
Source: RNAcentral